RNAcentral lists this ribosomal RNA (400 nucleotides) under phytoplankton environmental sample. Its description in RNAcentral is "partial small subunit ribosomal RNA". It matches the Rfam family "Eukaryotic small subunit ribosomal RNA", at positions 587 to 988 of the family's 1831-position model. The record is from RNAcentral.
AGCUCCAAUAGCGUAUAUUAAAGUUGUUGCAGUUAAAAAGCUCGUAGUUGGAUCUCUGGUGGGAGCGAUCGGUGCGGUACUCUGUACUGCUAUUCGUGUCGUCUCUAGCCAUGUUUGGACAGAAAUUGUCUGGCAUUAAGUUGUUGGGCAAGGGAUGUUCAUCUUUUACUGUGAAAAAAUUAGAGUGUUCAAAGCAGGCAUUUGCCAUUGAAUAUAUUAGCAUGGAAUAAUAACAUAGGACCUUGGUACUAUUUUGUUGGUUUGUGCACUAAGGUAAUGAUCAAUAGGGAUAGUCGGGGGUAUUCGUAUUCCACUGUCAGAGGUGAAAUUCUUGGAUUUUUGGAAGACGAACUACUGCGAAAGCAUUUACCAAGGAUGUUUUCAUUAAUCAAGAACGAAA